UGGUGGAGUGAUUUGUCUGGUUAAUUCCGAUAACGAACGAGACCUUAUUCUGCUAAUUAGACAGGCUAACUCUUUCGGGUUGGUUUAUAUUUAAUAUUUAACUGGCUUCUUAGAGAGACUAUCGGCUUCAAGCCGAAGGAAGUUUUAGGCAAUAACA
Molecule: ribosomal RNA, 157 nt
Filed under: uncultured eukaryote
Lineage: Eukaryota
Description: partial 18S ribosomal RNA
Rfam family: Eukaryotic small subunit ribosomal RNA
Source: RNAcentral